AUACUUACCUGGCAGGGGAGAGACCAUGACCAAGCAAGUGGUUUUCCCAGGGCGAGACUCAUCUCUUGCACUCCGGAUGUGCUGAUCCCUGUGAUUUCCCAAAAUGAGGGAAACUUGCUUGCAUAAUUUGUGGUGGUGGGGGACUGAGUUGUUUUUGUUUGUU
Molecule: small nuclear RNA, 163 nt
Organism: Amazona collaria (yellow-billed parrot)
Lineage: Eukaryota; Metazoa; Chordata; Aves; Psittaciformes; Psittacidae
Gene: U1
Rfam family: U1 spliceosomal RNA
About the family: U1 is a small nuclear RNA (snRNA) component of the spliceosome (involved in pre-mRNA splicing). Its 5' end forms complementary base pairs with the 5' splice junction, thus defining the 5' donor site of an intron. There are significant differences in sequence and secondary structure between metazoan and yeast U1 snRNAs, the latter being much longer (568 nucleotides as compared to 164 nucleotides in human).
Source: Ensembl